GACCCAGUGGUGAAGUGAAUCACACCCGCACCGCCUAAAUAUGCAUCUCCAUCAACUGGAUGUGGGAGUCCUCUGUUCGAACCAGGGCUGGGUCC
Molecule: non-coding RNA, 95 nt
Organism: Mycena metata
Lineage: Eukaryota; Fungi; Basidiomycota; Agaricomycetes; Agaricales; Mycenaceae
Source: the annotation of a GenBank genome assembly